Molecule: transfer RNA, 48 nt
Filed under: Aristida calycina
Lineage: Eukaryota; Viridiplantae; Streptophyta; Magnoliopsida; Poales; Poaceae
Also listed under: 1 other name
Description: partial tRNA-Phe
Rfam family: tRNA
About the family: Transfer RNA (tRNA) molecules are approximately 80 nucleotides in length. Their secondary structure includes four short double-helical elements and three loops (D, anti-codon, and T loops).
Source: RNAcentral
GGUCAGGAUAGCUCAGUUGGUAGAGCAGAGGACUGAAAAUCCUCGUGC